RNAcentral lists this long non-coding RNA (2389 nucleotides) under Capsicum annuum. Its description in RNAcentral is "long non-coding RNA (CANN_LNC011194)". The record is from RNAcentral. Lineage: Eukaryota; Viridiplantae; Streptophyta; Magnoliopsida; Solanales; Solanaceae.
UCUUCUCUCUCAAAAACCUCUCAAGAACAAGGCUAGGGUUUCAAUAGGGAAUCCAAAUUCAAGACUCAAAUCCAAGAAUCUCUCCGUCAAUCUUCCAAAAAUCAAGAACUAAGGUAUGCGUUGUGUUGAUUUAUGGAUCCCUUUCAUCCAUAAAGCUCAAAAACCCUAUUUUUCAUUAUAAAGUAUGAUUUCUAUAUUGUUUGGUGUUGAUGAUCAUAUUGUUGACAUUGGGUGAUUCCCAAGAUGGAAUCUUUAUAUGUUUUUAUGAAUUCAUGAUAUCAUAUAAGUUGGAAACAUGUAAAUUUGGUUGUUCAUGAUGUAUAAUUUGAUGAUUUCACCUAUUCUUAAGAUGUGCAUAUAAGGUGUUUGAUAAAAAGCCUAGGAAACUAGAAAUCAUGCAAUAUAGCUAAAUUGUGACUAAGUGAAGGAUUCAUGAUAUGCCCUUACGUUCCAUGUAAUACAUUGUUGAUAACCAUGCUUAGUAUGAGAUCCCUACUUAUGAUAUUAUAAAUUAUGGACUCUACUCUUAUGAUCAAGUCAGUCAUAUAUGUCAGUUUCCUUUCAUUGAGCCCUGGGGGUACUUGUACCCGAAAAAUAUAGCUGUGUACCUAGGGCCAUGUCAUGUUUUCAUGAUAGUCUCAGUCAAGCCAUGUUCAGUAGACUUCAGUCAGUCUCAUGACUCAGGAAAUCUCAUGUAAAGGUAGUAUCAGUUCAGUUUUACUCAGUACUCAGUAAUCUACGUAAUCUCAGUAAUAUUCCCUCAGUCUAUGGAAUUCAGUAAAUCUCAGUAUCAGUAUAAUUUAGUUCAGUAUUCAGUUCAAAAAUCAUUAAACUCAAUCAGCUAAUAGAACUCAGUAGUAUUUAGUCAGUUAACAGAAUUCAGUAGUGUUUCGCUAGUCAUCGAAACUCUAUAAACUCAGUCCAUGUUCAGUUCAGUUAAACAGAACAUCAGUAACAGUUCAGUUAAAUCUAGUAUAAAAUAGGAAAUCAGUUCAGUAUAAUCAGUUCAUUGUCAUUCAGUUGGGAGUAGGAUUCAGCACCGAGCUAACCCAAGGAUGGGAACUCACCUGCCAGUAGAGGGUGUGAUUCUUAGAAGCAGUCCUUACGUUCCAGAACUAUGUAGCCAGCAUAGGUUGAGACAUCAAUACCUGUCAGUUGAGGGUAGAUGAGGUGGCUUAUCCUGUCAGAUGAGGGUUCCCACCAUUCUCAUUAGAGUACCUGCCAAAUGAGGGUCACUCACAACUUGUCCUUAACAGUGGUGCGGUAUUGACACCCUUCCAAUCAGGGCAGAGAUUGGACCCCAGCUUAGCUAUUAUAGUAUAUUUGGGGCAUAUCGGUUAGAUAACUCCUUCCCACAGUUUCAGUAUCAGUCUCAGUAAAAGAACUCAGAUAGUUCUUCAGGAUAUCAGGACUGUCAGAUACAGUUAACUCAGAUACAGUACGAAACUCAGCUAGUUCCAUCAAAUUUAAGAUUGUCAGAUAUAGUCAUUCAUGCUAUCAGUUAUCAGAACUAAUGUUAUCAAUAUAUCAGUUAUCAGAAUUCAGUUGUCAUUCAUGAUAUAUUAUCAGUAAAUACAUGUCAUCAGUAUUCAUACUCAGUAGUCAUGUUAUCACGAGCUCAGUUUUAGGACUGUUAUAUACGGUUAGUCAAAUCAAUUCUUCAUAAUUAGAACUAUCAGAAAUAAUCAUUCCUUUAUCAAUAAUAUAGUAUCAGUCUCCCAAUAUUCAGUAAUACAGUAUCAGUUCCUUACUUAUUAGUGAAUUACAUAUCAAUAUCAGUAAACUCAAUCAUUUAGUAUCUCAAUAUCAGUGAACUCAGUCAUUCAGUAUCUCAGCAUCAAUAAACUCAUGUUGUCAGUAUUCAGACUCAGUAGUCAGUAUCACCACAAGUUUAGUUGCAGUUGCGUAUGUAUGUAUGUGUUCUCACGUUCAUAUCAGUCAGCAUUGUUUAUGCAUAUAAAACCCUUUGUAUUUAGCCUACUUCACUCGUAUACUCAGUGCAUUUAGUUGUACUGACGCAUUCGUGCUAUGGUAUUUUAUUUGACGCCAUAGGUACAGAGGCAUGAGUUUCAAAAUAGCAGUAGCAUUGCAGAUUUCAGCAGUCAGUGCUCCUCUUCAUUCAAGGACAAUAUUAUUAUUACUUUAUUACAGUAUUUUAGAUUAGUUUUUCAGUUCAUGGAGUUAGUUGGAGACAUAUUCCUUUAACUCCUUAUUCAGUUCAGUUAGGCUUUUGGACUAGAUGUCAGAUUAGAUGUUCAGACUUCAGUAUUUAUGUUUUUUUUUUGAUAUUAUUAUACCAUAUUUUUCAGAUAUGUAUCAGUAUUGAACCUUAUGGCCUUACAGUUCAUGUUUCCACAUAUUUUAUGAGACAUUAUGCAGUUUAUAGGUA